UGCAGUCGAGCGAACAGAUAAGGAGCUUGCUCCUUUGACGUUAGCGGCGGACGGGUGAGUAACACGUGGGUAACCUACCUAUAAGACUGGAAUAACUCCGGGAAACCGGGGCUAAUGCCGGAUAACAUUUAGAACCGCAUGGUUCUAAAGUGAAAGAUGGUUUUGCUAUCACUUAUAGAUGGACCCGCGCCGUAUUAGCUAGUUGGUAAGGUAACGGCUUACCAAGGCAACGAUACGUAGCCGACCUGAGAGGGUGAUCGGCCACACUGGAACUGAGACACGGUCCAGACUCCUACGGGAGGCAGCAGUAGGGAAUCUUCCGCAAUGGGCGAAAGCCUGACGGAGCAACGCCGCGUGAGUGAUGAAGGUCUUCGGAUCGUAAAACUCUGUUAUUAGGGAAGAACAAAUGUGUAAGUAACUGUGCACGUCUUGACGGUACCUAAUCAGAAAGCCACGGCUAACUACGUGCCAGCAGCCGCGGUAAUACGUAGGUGGCAAGCGUUAUCCGGAAUUAUUGGGCGUAAAGCGCGCGUAGGCGGUUUCUUAAGUCUGAUGUGAAAGCCCACGGCUCAACCGUGGAGGGUCAUUGGAAACUGGGAAACUUGAGUGCAGAAGAGGAAAGUGGAAUUCCAUGUGUAGCGGUGAAAUGCGCAGAGAUAUGGAGGAACACCAGUGGCGAAGGCGACUUUCUGGUCUGUAACUGACGCUGAUGUGCGAAAGCGUGGGGAUCAAACAGGAUUAGAUA
RNAcentral lists this ribosomal RNA (745 nucleotides) under Staphylococcus cohnii. RNAcentral's name for it is "bacterial SSU rRNA". It matches the Rfam family "Bacterial small subunit ribosomal RNA", at positions 56 to 784 of the family's 1533-position model. Lineage: Bacteria; Bacillati; Bacillota; Bacilli; Caryophanales; Staphylococcaceae. The record is from RNAcentral.